AUUUAAGUAGUUUAUUUAAAAUAUUAAUUUGUGGAAUUAAAGAAAUAUAGUGCUUUAAAGUCUUAAAUA
RNAcentral lists this transfer RNA (69 nucleotides) under Pristaulacus sp. ZJUH_2016030. Its description in RNAcentral is "tRNA-His". The record is from RNAcentral. Lineage: Eukaryota; Metazoa; Arthropoda; Insecta; Hymenoptera; Aulacidae.